Molecule: ribosomal RNA, 526 nt
Filed under: Melanohalea trabeculata
Lineage: Eukaryota; Fungi; Ascomycota; Lecanoromycetes; Lecanorales; Parmeliaceae
Description: eukaryotic LSU rRNA
Rfam family: Eukaryotic large subunit ribosomal RNA
Source: RNAcentral
AAUUUGAAAUCUGGCUUCUUCGGGGCCCGAGUUGUAAUUUGUAGAGAGUGCUUCGGGUGAGACCGUGGUCUAAGUCCAUUGGAACAUGGCGUCCCAGAGGGUGAGAAUCCCGUAUGCGACCGUGGCGCGAACCCAUGUGAAGCCUCUUCGACGAGUCGAGUUGUUUGGGAAUGCAGCUCUAAAUGGGUGGUAAAUUUCAUCUAAAGCUAAAUAUUGGCUGGAGACCGAUAGCGCACAAGUAGAGUGAUCGAAAGAUGAAAAGCACUUUGGAAAGAGAGUUAAACAGUACGUGAAAUUGUUGAAAGGGAAGCGCUUGCAACCAGACCUGCCCGUAGGCGAUCACCCGCUGUUCUCAGCGGUGCACUCGUUCUGCGAUCGGGCCAGCAUCGGUUUCGGCGGCCGGAUAAAGGCCUUGGGAAUGUAGCUUCCCUUCGGGGGAGUCUUAUAGCCCUCGGUGCAAUGCGGCCAGCCGGGACCGAGGACCGCGCUUCGGCUAGGAUGCUGGCGUAAUGGUUGUAAGCGACCC